RNAcentral lists this long non-coding RNA (360 nucleotides) under Pan troglodytes (chimpanzee). Its description in RNAcentral is "lincRNA". Lineage: Eukaryota; Metazoa; Chordata; Mammalia; Primates; Hominidae. The record is from RNAcentral.
AGGAGAAAAAUGGGAGAAUCUGGUGAUAACAGCAGGCCCUUUGAACAGCCACCUUGAAGGAAGUCAAAGAAGUAUAUUUCGGGUCACAGAAGCUUGUCCUGGCAAGAAUCCUAUCUGUAAGCUCUACAGAACUAGCAUUUCCUCAAUUUCCAUCUGCCAAGAUGCUAACAGAGAACACAUCAAGUAGGUGGAACACACAAGGAACUGACCUUGACUUAAAGCAAGUAUGGCAAUCUAAGAUCUCUGCCAUGACAUGACUAUAGUUUAUGAACCAUUUACAAUGGUAGUAAUAUCACAUUAUUCAUUGUCUGUAUACCAUGUGCCCCAGAUAUUAAAGCCAAUUGAUGCAUACUCUCUUUC